AUUGCCCCAGUAACGGCGAGUGAAGCGGCAAUAGCUCAAAUUUGAAAUCUGGCUCUUUCAGGGUCCGAGUUGUAAUUUGCAGAGGGCGCUUUGGCGUCGGCAGCAGCCUAAGUUCCUUGGAACAGGUCAUCAUAGAGGGUGAGAAUCCCGUAUGUGGCUGCUUGUCUUCACCGUGUAAAGCCCCUUCGAUGAGUCGAGUUGUUUGGGAAUGCAGCUCUAAAUGGGAGGUAAAUUUCUUCUAAAGCUAAAUAUUGGCCAGAGACCGAUAGCGCACAAGUAGAGUGAUCGAAAGAUGAAAAGCACUUUGGAAAGAGAGUCAAAAAGCACGUGAAAUUGUUGAAAGGGAAGCGCUUGCAGCCAGACGUGCCUGUAGUUGCUCAUCUGGGGAUUUCCCCAGUGCACUCUUCUAUAGGCAGGCCAGCAUCAGUUCGGGCGGUUGGAGAAAGACCUGUGUCACGUAGCUCUCUUCGGGGAGUGUUAUAGGGCAGGUGGAAUGCAACCAGCCUGGACUGAGGUCCGCGCAUCUGCUAGGAUGCUGGCGUAAUGGCUGUAAGCGGCCCGUCUUGAAACACGGACCAAGGAGUCUAACAUCUAUGCGAGUGUUUGGGUGUCAAGCCCGAGCGCGUAAUGAAAGUGAACGGAGGUGGGAACCCCUCGGGGUGCACCAUCGACCGAUCCUGAUGUCUUCGGAUGGAUUUGAGUAAGAGCAUAGCUGUUGGGACCCGAAAGAUGGUGAACUAUGCCUGAAUAGGGUGAAGCCAGAGGAAACUCUGGUGGAGGCUCGCAGCGGUUCUGACGUGCAAAUCGAUCGUCAAAUUUGGGCAUAGGG
Molecule: ribosomal RNA, 829 nt
Filed under: Melanomma pulvis-pyrius
Lineage: Eukaryota; Fungi; Ascomycota; Dothideomycetes; Pleosporales; Melanommataceae
Description: eukaryotic LSU rRNA
Rfam family: Eukaryotic large subunit ribosomal RNA
Source: RNAcentral